This 687-nucleotide ribosomal RNA is filed under the name uncultured bacterium. RNAcentral describes it as "bacterial SSU rRNA". It matches the Rfam family "Bacterial small subunit ribosomal RNA", at positions 100 to 766 of the family's 1533-position model. The record is from RNAcentral.
AAAGGGUGAGUAACACGUAGGUAACCUACCUUCGAAACUGGGAUAACUUCGCGAAAGCGGAGCUAAUACCAGGUAAGACCACGAUUCUUAAGGAUUGUGGUAAAAGAUGGCCUCUGUUUACAAGCUGUCAUUUGAAGAGGGGCCUGCGUCCUAUCAGCUUGUUGGUGAGGUAACGGCUCACCAAGGCAUUUGACGGGUAGCUGGUCUGAGAGGAUGGUCAGCCACACUGGGACUGAGACACUGCCCAGACUCCUACGGGAGGCUGCAGUCGAGAAUCUUUAGCAAUGGGGGAAACCCUGACUAUGCGACGCCGCGUGAGCGAUGAAGGCCUUCGGGUUGUAAAGCUCUGUCAGGUGGGAUGAAUACUCUGUCCUGAAUAAGGACAGAGUUUGACCGUACCACCAGAGGAAGCCACGGCUAACUCCGUGCCAGCAGCCGCGGUAAUACGGAGGUGGCAAGCGUUGUUCGGAUUUAUUGGGUGUAAAGGGCAUGUAGGUGUUCUAGUAAGUUCUGGCUGAAAUCCUUCGGCUCAACCGGAGAACGUGUCAGAAAACUGCUAGAAUUGAGUGCGGAAGAGGAGAACGGAAUUCCCGGUGUAAGGGUGAAAUCUGUAGAUAUCGGGAGGAACACCAGUGGCGAAAGCGGUUCUCUGGUCCGCAACUGACACUGAAAUGCGAAAGCUAGGGG